This is a non-coding RNA of Lolium perenne, 957 nucleotides long. NCBI's taxonomy places the organism in Eukaryota, Viridiplantae, Streptophyta, Magnoliopsida, Poales, Poaceae. The record is from RefSeq and is a predicted model, not a curated record.
UCCCAAACCCUAACGCACUCCUUCCCCCCUUCCUCGAACCCCUCUUCUCCCCGCCCCCGCCGCCGCUCACCGGAGCUCCCGCGCAUCCGCCACCCGGAGCAACUACUUCGCUCAAGGGCAGGAGGGGGACGACCCCGCGUUCGCCGCCUCUCUGCACCGCCGGCCAGAUCCAGAUCCUCCUCCUCGUGCCGCUCCCGGCGUCUUCAACGCCCGCCCGCCCGCACCAACCACCUCCUCCUCCUCCUGCUGCUCACGGCCUCCAAACAGACCAAAAGACGCCCGCUUCCCCGAUCCACAUGCCAACACCCACCGCAUCCCCUGCUCAUCACGCAAGGACGACGCGACGCAGACCUCACCUGCUGCAACGACGGAUUUUCCUGUUACCACUUGUCUUGAAUAUGGAGCGUGCUUUAUAGCUUAAUUGGCAGCAGGUUCAGGAAGACUUCCUCCACUCGGACGCUGGGUACAAGAACAACUGCAAUCGAUAGGGCAAACACCCUAGCUACCUUAUUAUGGUGUUAGAGGCCAAGGCGGCAGUGAUGGCGAGGAUGGGCGUCCAGUAGCAGCGGCUUCCACUGCUCAGAUGAUGAAUUUUAUUGUUGCCACUUGCCCUGAAUAUGGAGCGUUCUUGUUACCUGAUGAAUAAUGGGCGGCAGCUUCAGGACGACUUCCUCCACUCGGGAGGCUGGGGACAAGAACCACUGCAAUGGAUAGAUUGGAGAUGCUUUGGCUGUCUGAUGCAUGACUGGAGGGUGGAAGAAUAAGAAGUGAAAGCUGAACUCCUCUUGUUUGCGAAACCAGAAUUUGUAUUUGGUAGUCUGACUGACUGCUUACUGUGACUCCAAAUCUGGAAUGUUCCAGACCGGUUGUUUCAUUGCCAGAAGUUGUAAUGAUGUGCAAUGUUUGUUUAGCUAGACUUGUGAUGGGAGUAGGCUUGUGCUGUUGCACUUUUAUUGA